This 423-nucleotide ribosomal RNA is filed under the name uncultured Gammaproteobacteria bacterium. RNAcentral describes it as "bacterial SSU rRNA". It matches the Rfam family "Bacterial small subunit ribosomal RNA", at positions 608 to 1029 of the family's 1533-position model. The record is from RNAcentral. Lineage: Bacteria; Pseudomonadati; Pseudomonadota; Gammaproteobacteria.
CUCAACCUGGGAAUGGCGUUCGAUACUGUCCAGCUAGAGUCUGGUAGAGGGAAGUGGAAUUUCCGGUGUAGCGGUGAAAUGCGUAGAUAUCGGAAGGAACACCAGUGGCGAAGGCGACUUCCUGGACCAAGACUGACGCUGAGGUGCGAAAGCGUGGGUAGCAAACAGGAUUAGAUACCCUGGUAGUCCACGCCGUAAACGAUGAGAACUAGCCGUUGGACCCAUUUAAGGGUUUAGUGGCGCAGCUAACGCAAUAAGUUCUCCGCCUGGGGAGUACGGCCGCAAGGCUAAAACUCAAAGGGAUUGACGGGGGCCCGCACAAGCGGUGGAGCAUGUGGUUUAAUUCGAUGCAACGCGAAGAACCUUACCUGCCCUUGACAUCCUCGGAACUUGGUAGAGAUACCUUGGUGCCUUCGGGAGCCG